This 766-nucleotide long non-coding RNA is filed under the name Numida meleagris (helmeted guineafowl). RNAcentral's name for it is "lncRNA (ENSNMEG00000006877.1)". The record is from RNAcentral. Lineage: Eukaryota; Metazoa; Chordata; Aves; Galliformes; Numididae.
GUCAAUCACAAACCAGAAAACAAAGCAUGUAAGAUAGAGGUAAAAAGCACUGUGGAGCAAGGGUAUAGGGCUCCAAGAACAACGUGCAGAGGAGAUCAAAUGACUCCACAGGUUCCUUUCCUGCUGAACAUCAUUUUUUCACUGCCUUCAAGAUAUCUUUUCCUAUAAGUCCACUCAUCCUAAAGACAGGUUACCCCAUCCAGGACUCUCUUUAAACAAAAAAGGGAGAAGAUCCGGUGAUUCCACAAAGUCCCAUAUGAACUGCCCCAUUGCUGGUGUGCUCUGACCGCGAAAGUGCUCACACUGCAAUGUAAUAGGAGCAAUGCUGAGACCCAACACAGAUGGUGGAUGGAUCUGACCAAGGUGGGCCAAGUAUGCAAGCUGCCCUAAGGUUACUGAAGUUACAAGUUUAGACUGCGACCUUCUCUACAUUGGCAUGUUUCACGAGGUACAAAUGCCUUGCUGGCUCCCAGAAUCCUCACCAUCACCCACAAUACCAAUGGAGCCUUGAAUGCUCAUCAGAUAUCUGGAUCAGAUUUCAUGGUCUCCAGCUCAGCAUCAACACUCUCCUCCCAUCAGAAAGACAAUGCAAAUACAGACAGUUCUGGACGAGCUGAAACUGAAGUGUGGAGCUUUUCUGGAGCGUAUUAAAAGGACUUCUCUCCAAAUGAAAGCUCAUUUGCCACUGGGAUGCACGUACAGAAAACAGCGAAAUCAAACUACUAUUUUUGCAGAGGCCUUUUUUUUUCCACCUUGUCGGCAGAAC